Antechinus flavipes (yellow-footed antechinus) is the source of this 1796-nucleotide long non-coding RNA. RefSeq lists it as uncharacterized. NCBI's taxonomy places the organism in Eukaryota, Metazoa, Chordata, Mammalia, Dasyuromorphia, Dasyuridae. The record is from RefSeq and is a predicted model, not a curated record. The transcript is spliced from 2 exons.
UUCACUCCGUAAUUAUUGGUAGUCCUCUGACAGGUCCCGCCCUGAUCCUUCUCCUAUUGGUUCUCCCAAGGAACGCUUCCCCUGAUUGGUGUAAGGUUUCUCCGACCCCAGUGCCCAGUACGGCAUUUACCCCACUGGCCCGCUGUCUUCUUGCGUUUUCAUUGGUCGUUAUUCGUGAAGAGCCCACCUUCGUGCGGCACUCAUUGACCUUCCCAGAGAGCGUUCCUUUUCAUUGGCUUAUGAUUUCACCUCAUGAGGUUAGAUGCUCCCUCCCUUAUUCCGGACCUUGUCAUAGGCUUAUCAUUUCAGAAGUCCCACCCUCUCUGCUUUUCCAUUGGUAGACUUUCACAGCGUUUCUUUACAUUGGCUACGGAUCUCGCCAUUCCCGGGCGCUUGCUCUCCCUCCUGCCUGCCAUCGCAGCUCGCGGAUUGGUCCCAGGGUGAGAUAAAGUCGCUGGGGAUUGGCGGGCGGAGCUAGGUCCCGGCGGAGGCUGACCAAGAAAGGUCAAGUGAUUUCUCCAGCUCGUGAGUAAAUGUCGGAGGCAGGAUUCGAAUGGCAGUCUCUGUAACUCUCAGAUCUCACCAUAUUUGGUGCGGAACGGCAAUCUUUAAUGAAUUAAAGACGUGGGUCUCCCAGACCCCAUGGAGAGGGUCACUGGGGACGAAUAGGUCAGAAGGCCUCGGGAUGGACGGCAGAGACGUGGGGUGAUCACAUCACAGAAUCACAGAAUGUUAGCGGGGACCUCGGCGGCUGUGAGCCCCGGGUGAAUCCUCGUUCUACCAGAUUAAGCUUCUGCCUGAAAGCUUUCACCCAACGGCGGUCCUCGACCCUUCCACUCUGGAAUGGGCGAUCAUCGUUCGCCUCGUUUACAACUUGCACCUAUUCUCCUCAUCUUCUCUCUGGUGACCAAUAAAGCACCUAGUCCUUCCCUACAUGCCAGAGGCUUGAAUGCAAGCGGCGUGUCCCAUCUCCCACAGCCCCCUUCCCUCAACCUCUUCCAGGAAAGAGGAACGAACAGACAGAAGGCUCCGUAGCCCAUUGCCACCCAUGCGAUACCAGGUGAUCUACUUGUGGGGAACCCCACUGUGAAGGAUUCAUGGGAGGGCCUGGAUGAGGUCCCAAAGGAUGAGAAGCAGGUCUCCAUUGCUGGAAUGAAGACCCAGUGGUGAGACCUGCCAAAGCACAGAUCGCCUUGAGACCUAAAAGACACUUCCAUCCGGACGAUUUCACAUAACCAAAAUUUCUCUCGAUAUUCCUUCCUCCCUGUUUCAGGGAACCAUUGAUAAAUAGAACCGACUUUUCCCGCCUCGAUUUGCCCUUUCCUCCGAACUUCCCUUCUGAAGGCACCACUGUCCUCCCCUCCGGCUCCCAGCUCUGGACACACUGUGGUCCUUCCCUUCCUCUCACCUCCAUUCUUGUUAACAAAGCCAAAUCGGCCACAGCUCUUUUUCUCUAUUCCCACGGCGGGCGCCUGAAUUGCUCCGGCUCCCGUUUCUCCUGCUCUUCUCCAGACUCUCCUCUCCAAACUGCUCCCCAAACAGCCACCAGCUCCCAGAACUCUCAGCAAUCCAAGCCCUGGCAUAAAACGCGCACCCCUGCCCGCCAGCAUCACCCCUCCCACGAUGGCCAUCCCAGCCAAGCUAACCCCAGGAGUCGGGACCGAGCGAGACAUCGCACCCUAAGCUGCUCCCCAUGGCAGAAAUGCCCCUCUCUUUCACCCAGUCGUCGGCGUCUUUCUUAAAAUGUCCAGUAUUGCUUAUUUUUUUCCUAUUACACGUAGAUACUUUAACAUCCA